Stomoxys calcitrans (stable fly) is the source of this 72-nucleotide non-coding RNA. The record is from Rfam. NCBI's taxonomy places the organism in Eukaryota, Metazoa, Arthropoda, Insecta, Diptera, Muscidae.
GCCACCGUAGCGCAGAGUUUAGCAUGUCCGCCUAUGACGCUGAGCGCCUGGGUUCGAAUUUCAGCGGUGGUU